Molecule: ribosomal RNA, 117 nt
Filed under: Lepisosteus oculatus (spotted gar)
Lineage: Eukaryota; Metazoa; Chordata; Actinopteri; Semionotiformes; Lepisosteidae
Source: RNAcentral
UACUUUUAUCAUAUCACCCUGAAAUUCACAACUGACAACCCACUGAAGCUCAGCAGGUGUGAGCCUGGUCAGUACCUGGAUGGGAGACCUCCUGGGAAUAACUGCUGGAAGAGGUGU